AUCCGGCUAACGUGUCCGAAAUAGGACAAAACGCGCUUCCUGGAU
This 45-nucleotide non-coding RNA is filed under the name Schistosoma curassoni. The record is from RNAcentral. Lineage: Eukaryota; Metazoa; Platyhelminthes; Trematoda; Strigeidida; Schistosomatidae.